GAUGAACGCUGGCGGCGUGCCUAAUACAUGCAAGUCGAGCGAACGGACGAGAAGCUUGCUUCUCUGAUGUUAGCGGCGGACGGGUGAGUAACACGUGGAUAACCUACCUAUAAGACUGGGAUAACUUCGGGAAACCGGAGCUAAUACCGGAUAAUAUUUUGAACCGCAUGGUUCAAAAGUGAAAGACGGUCUUGCUGUCACUUAUAGAUGGAUCCGCGCUGCAUUAGCUAGUUGGUAAGGUAACGGCUUACCAAGGCAACGAUGCAUAGCCGACCUGAGAGGGUGAUCGGCCACACUGGAACUGAGACACGGUCCAGACUCCUACGGGAGGCAGCAGUAGGGAAUCUUCCGCAAUGGGCGAAAGCCUGACGGGGCAACGCCGCGUGAGUGAUGAAGGUCUUCGGAUCGUAAAACUCUGUUAUUAGGGAAGAACAUAUGUGUAAGUAACUGUGCACAUCUUGACGGUACCUAAUCAGAAAGCCACGGCUAACUACGUGCCAGCAGCCGCGGUAAUACGUAGGUGGCAAGCGUUAUCCGGAAUUAUUGGGCGUAAAGCGCGCGUAGGCGGUUUUUUAAGUCUGAUGUGAAAGCCCACGGCUCAACCGUGGAGGGUCAUUGGAAACUGGAAAACUUGAGUGCAGAAGAGGAAAGUGGAAUUCCAUGUGUAGCGGUGAAAUGCGCAGAGAUAUGGAGGAACACCAGUGGCGAAGGCGACUUUCUGGUCUGUAACUGACGCUGAUGUGCGAAAGCGUGGGGAUCAAACAGGAUUAGAUACCCUGGUAGUCCACGCCGUAAACGAUGAGUGCUAAGUGUUAGGGGGUUUCCGCCCCUUAGUGCUGCAGCUAACGCAUUAAGCACUCCGCCUGGGGAGUACGACCGCAAGGUUGAAACUCAAAGGAAUUGACGGGGACCCGCACAAGCGGUGGAGCAUGUGGUUUAAUUCGAAGCAACGCGAAGAACCUUACCAAAUCUUGACAUCCUUUGACAACUCUAGAGAUAGAGCCUUCCCCUUCGGGGGACAAAGUGACAGGUGGUGCAUGGUUGUCGUCAGCUCGUGUCGUGAGAUGUUGGGUUAAGUCCCGCAACGAGCGCAACCCUUAAGCUUAGUUGCCAUCAUUAAGUUGGGCACUCUAAGUUGACUGCCGGUGACAAACCGGAGGAAGGUGGGGAUGACGUCAAAUCAUCAUGCCCCUUAUGAUUUGGGCUACACACGUGCUACAAUGGACAAUACAAAGGGCAGCGAAACCGCGAGGUCAAGCAAAUCCCAUAAAGUUGUUCUCAGUUCGGAUUGUAGUCUGCAACUCGACUACAUGAAGCUGGAAUCGCUAGUAAUCGUAGAUCAGCAUGCUACGGUGAAUACGUUCCCGGGUCU
RNAcentral lists this ribosomal RNA (1372 nucleotides) under uncultured bacterium. Its description in RNAcentral is "bacterial SSU rRNA". It matches the Rfam family "Bacterial small subunit ribosomal RNA", at positions 28 to 1381 of the family's 1533-position model. The record is from RNAcentral.